RNAcentral lists this ribosomal RNA (1854 nucleotides) under Mallinella panchoi. Its description in RNAcentral is "SSU rRNA". It matches the Rfam family "Eukaryotic small subunit ribosomal RNA". Lineage: Eukaryota; Metazoa; Arthropoda; Arachnida; Araneae; Zodariidae. The record is from RNAcentral.
AGAUUAAGCCAUGCAGGUCCAAGUACGUGCCUUCCGGAAACGAGAAAAGGCGAAACCGCGAAUGGCUCAUUAAAUCAGAUGUGGUUCCUUGGAGCUUACCCGACUACUUGGAUAACCGUGGCAAUUCCAGAGCUAAUACAUGCACGUAAAGCCCCGACCCGCCUCUCGGGGCGGGGAUGACGGGCGCAGUUAUUAGACCUAGACCGGUGGUACCGAGCUUCCUCCCCGUCUCUCCCUCGCACGGGAGUCGCGGGGGCGGUCUGCCAGGCGCCUCACCCGGCGGUGACUCUGUAUAACGUCGCGGAUCGCACGGGCUCUACGUCCCGGCGACCCAUCCUUCGAGCGUCUGCCUUAUCAACUUUCGACGGUAGGCCACGUGCCAACCGUGGUCGUAACGGGUGACGGGGAAUCAGGGUUCGAUUCCGGAGAGGGAGCCCGAGAAACGGCUACCACAUCCAAGGAAGGCAGCAGGCACGCAAAUUACCCACUCCCGGCACGGGGAGGUAGUGACGAAAAAUAACGAUACGGGACUCUUACGAGACCCCGUAGUCGGAAUGAGCUCGAUCCAAACAGCCGCACGAGGAUCGAUCGGAGGGCAAGUCUGGUGCCAGCAGCCGCGGUAACCCCAGCUCCGAUAGCGUAUAUUAAAGUUGCUGCGGUUAAAAAGCUCGUAGUCGGAUUCGAUUGGGUGCCCCGCAUCCCCGGCUUUUACCGUCGGGCGACCAGCGGCGGUUUCCCUUCUGAAAGACUGCCGUGCGCCGUCGAUGAUCUUGACCGGUCGUCUUCGGGACGGUACGGCGCCUUCACCUUGAAAAAAUCUAAGUGCUCAAGGCAGGCCCACAAAAACGAAGCUCGGACGUGUGUGCAUGGAAUGAUGGAACAGGACCUCGGUUCUGCUCUGCCGGUUUCUAACGGAACCCGAGGUAAUGAUCGAGAGGAACGGACGGGGGCAUCCGUACUGCGACGCUAGAGGUGAAAUUCUUGGACCGUCGCAUGACGAACGACUGCGAAAGCAUUUGCCAAGGAUGCUUCCUUUGAUCAAGAACGAAAGUCAGAGUUUCGAAGGCGAUCAGAUACCGCCCUAGUUCUGACCGUAAACGAUGCCAGCCAGCGAUCCGGCUGCGUUCUCAAACGACGCGCCGGGAAGCUUCCGGGAAACCAGAGCCUUCGGGUUCCGGGGGAAGUAUGGUUGCAAAACUGGAACUUAAAGGAAUUGACGGAUGGUCACUACCAGACAUGGAGCCUGCGGCUCAAUUCGACUCAACACUGGGAAACUCACCCGGCCCGGACACGGGAAGGAUUGACAGACUGACGGACCUUUCUUGAUUCUGUGGGUGGUGGUGCAUGGUCGCCCUUAGUUGGUGGAGCGAUUUGUCUGGUCUAUUCCGAUAACGAGCGAGGCUCCGACCUGCUAAAUAGGAAGCCCCGGUCGACGCCGGAGGUUCGUAAGUCUCUUCUUAGAGGGACGGGCGGUGUCCAGCCGCACGAGACGGAGCGAUGGCAGGUCUGUGAUGCCCUUAGAUGUCCGGGGCCGCACGCGCGCUACAUUGAAGGGGCCAGCGCGCGCCCUCUCCCUGCCGGAGACGGCCGGGUAACCGCACGAGUCCCCUUCGUGCUGGGGACAGGGGACUGGAAUUGUCCCCCUCGAACGAGGAAUGCCUAGUAGGCGCGGAUCACCAGUCCGUGCCGAAUACGUCCCUGGCCAUUGUCCACACCGCCUGUCGCUACGAUCGAUCGAACGGUUCAGCGAGGUAGUCGGACCGGCUGCGGCUUCCUCGACGCCUGCCUCCUCACGGUGCGCGGGUAGAAGGGCGGCUGCGUGCCGGAAAGUCUUCCGAACUCGAUCGUUUAGAG